Molecule: long non-coding RNA, 1395 nt
Organism: Salarias fasciatus (jewelled blenny)
Lineage: Eukaryota; Metazoa; Chordata; Actinopteri; Blenniiformes; Blenniidae
Exons: 4
Source: RefSeq, a predicted model, not a curated record
CUGUUCAGAUGCGCUCAUAUGAACCUAAACAAAUCAAUCGCAGAAAAAGAAGUGCGUCUUUUUUAAUCUUUUGGCGGGGAACAUCGGACCCUUAUGUGGAAAAAGGGUCCUAUGUUCCCCGGUCCAUACGAAGCGGGGAACAUCGGUACGCUCCCAGCGGCACUGCAUCCGGUAUGAGGAACCUUUCACGCCGAUGUACAAACACAAUUCUUUCAAGUAUGGCCAUGGGUGUUGGUCUUCAUCACCACCGUCGUCUGUCACCGGCGGAGUGGUAGCAGCAGCCGAUGAACUGGCGGGAGCAGCAGGCGCGUUUGGUGUGCUUUCAUCACCCUCCAGCAACUCGUUACUCGCCAUCUUUACCCGAAGCUCGUCUUCGUCGAUACCACAGACAUAUACACUGGACCCCUCACGACUGGCCUGUUCGUACGUCAGUCUGUCCGCCAUCUUGGGACUGGCGUUUCUGAGGAAUUCAGAGACGAUGCCUCACCACUGCUCGGCUUGGGGUUGUGCAAACCGACAAAAUAAAGACUGUAAACUGCGUGGAAUUACCUUCCACAGGUAAGAGAAAGUGUGUUUGUUGUUGUGUUUAGCUCACAUAAUAUUUGCUUUGGAGAUAGCAUUUUUUACACGGUUCCACUUGACUUAUUUAUUCCGUUGCUAAAGCUAUGCUAACCCGCGGUUUAAACUAACGGAUUCUAUUUAUGUCACAGUGCUUGGAGUUUUACAUUUUGAAAUAAAUUAUUUGCUUUCAACGAAAUGGUCAUAAAUGACGGCUGUUUAAUCACUUUUUUUGGCAUUUGAAGGUUUCCCACCAACAAAUGUGUGAGGAAGCAGCGGGAGGCAGCUCUCCGGAGAGAGGCUUUCGUUGCGACCUCGUACUGGAGGCUCUGCAGCGCUCCGAGGAGAAGGACCUCGACAGGACGGGUCCGACUGUCCGGAUCAGGGAUGGAGUAUCACCAUCUGUAUUCAGCUUCCCAGCUCAUCUCAGAAGAGUCAGUGCAUCACGAGACCGUGGCCACCAGGACGAGCUGGACAUCACAGCAGGCACUGCAGCGCUUCAGAACCAGUUAGUGGAGCGUUCCCCACCUGUUCCCGAAGGAGAACCUCAGCUUGACCCCAGUCUGGUACCUGUCUGUCAUGGGGUUCCUCAUUAACAUUGAUACCCUUCUAUUUAUGAUCCCGGAGCUGCUUCAAAAUCAGCGAUACGUCUGCCCCCAUCGCUUCAGCCAGGAUCAGCUGGAGCUCCUCUAACUCCAUCAGGGCAUCUGGAAGGGAUUUCAGAAAUGUUCUUUCUUUCUCCUUAUGACUGAGAGGGGGCUGGAACAACAAUCCCUCGGCAGCCAGUUCCAGGCUAUGUUCCGCCGCCUCAUGGUCAGCUGGGGUGUGUCUCCUGGA